CCAAGGACACCAAGUCAUUUUGGUCAGGGCCAGGUCCACCGCCGAGAUCCUCGCUGCUUAUCAUGGUGUCUCAGGAGCAGCAACAUCAGCAUCACCCGGGAGCUGGUAGAGCUUUAAUGAACUACUCUGAAAGACCCAAGCACUCAUAAGACAAAGCAACGGACAUGCAUUGAGUUCCCAGUCCUACCGUCUAACCGAGAUAUGACUAUGGAUCUGCUACUUGAUCUUUCUGAGCUCCAUCUGUAAAACACAGAGAAAAACAAUACCAGCAUCACACAACAGGAGUCACCCUGGAGACAAAUGAAAGGAAACUGAAUGUGGAAUGGGGGGAGAGAAGGAUUUCCGUGGAGGAUCUGGGUAACUUCGGGAUCGUUCCGAGAGAUGAUCAUUUCACAGCAGGCUUAGCAGAGUCUUCGGAUGGAAGCUCUCAAGAGCAAGCCCAGAAAGUUUCUGGAGGGGUCAGUGAAAAAAUACCAUUUCUCAGUAUGGAUAUAAGUUAA
Molecule: long non-coding RNA, 500 nt
Filed under: Equus asinus (donkey)
Lineage: Eukaryota; Metazoa; Chordata; Mammalia; Perissodactyla; Equidae
Description: lncRNA (ENSEASG00005030307.1)
Source: RNAcentral